AGUGAACGCUGGCGGUAGGCCUAACACAUGCAAGUCGAACGGCAGCACAGUAAGAGCUUGCUCUUACGGGUGGCGAGUGGCGGACGGGUGAGGAAUACAUCGGAAUCUACUUUUUCGUGGGGGAUAACGUAGGGAAACUUACGCUAAUACCGCAUACGACCUGCGGGUGAAAGCAGGGGAUCUUCGGACCUUGCGCGAUUGGAUGAGCCGAUGUCGGAUUAGCUAGUUGGCGGGGUAAAGGCCCACCAAGGCGACGAUCCGUAGCUGGUCUGAGAGGAUGAUCAGCCACACUGGAACUGAGACACGGUCCAGACUCCUACGGGAGGCAGCAGUGGGGAAUAUUGGACAAAGGGCGCAAGCCUGAUCCAGCCAUACCGCGUGGGUGAAGAAGGCCUUCGGGUUGUAAAGCCCUUUUGUUGGGAAAGAAAAGCAGCAGGUUAAUACCCCGCUGUUCUGACGGUACCCAAAGAAUAAGCACCGGCUAACUUCGUG
Molecule: ribosomal RNA, 492 nt
Filed under: uncultured bacterium
Lineage: Bacteria
Description: partial 16S ribosomal RNA
Rfam family: Bacterial small subunit ribosomal RNA
Source: RNAcentral